UCUUCAAAAGCCUCAAGUCUCAUCUGCAUUAAAGCUCUCCAUUGAACCCUCUCACAAAAGAGCAUAGAGCAGAACAUUUUACACAGCAGCAUCCAACGUGGUAAGAGUAAGUAUGUUUCAGUUAUAUGUGUGUGUGAGUGUGUGUGUGUGUUUGUAUUUGUGUCAUUAAAUAAAGUGCAUUUUUUUCCCCUAUCAGUUGCAGUCGCUGAUCCAGGUGUAUUAUUUUAGCACUAAUGCUUUCCUUCGCAUUUGGGUUCUUAGGAGACUUUCUUUUCACUUCAU
Molecule: long non-coding RNA, 282 nt
Filed under: Canis lupus dingo (dingo)
Lineage: Eukaryota; Metazoa; Chordata; Mammalia; Carnivora; Canidae
Description: lncRNA (ENSCAFG00020005398.1)
Source: RNAcentral